AAUAUGUAUUUGAUAGAAGAAAAAAAGGAAACUAUUACGUAAUAAGCAGAAUCUAGGCGAAUCUAAAAUCUGCAUUAGUAAGUUUGUAAACGCAGAAAAAUUGCAUAGAAGAUGAGACAUAUGCAGUUCUGAACAAUUCUGCUGACGCUAUACUUAGCUCUGCCUCACAGCCUUCAAUUAAUUCCUUCAACUGUUCACUUGGCCCCAUCAU
Long non-coding RNA from Arabidopsis thaliana (thale cress), 211 nucleotides. RefSeq annotates it as other RNA. The transcript has a single exon. The record is from RefSeq. NCBI's taxonomy places the organism in Eukaryota, Viridiplantae, Streptophyta, Magnoliopsida, Brassicales, Brassicaceae.